UACGUAGGCAGCAAGCGUUGUUCGGAAUUACUGGGCGUAAAGAGUGUGUAGGCGGUGCUCUAAGUUCGGUGUGAAAUCUCCCGGCUCAACUGGGAGGGUGCGCCGAAAACUGGGGUGCUGGAGCGCGGGAGAGGAAAGCGGAAUUCCUGGUGUAGCGGUGAAAUGCGCAGAUAUCGGGAGGAACACCGGUGGCGAAGGCGGCAUCCUGGACCGGCAUUGACGCUGAGGAGCGAAAGCCAGGGGAGCAAACGGG
RNAcentral lists this ribosomal RNA (253 nucleotides) under uncultured bacterium. Its description in RNAcentral is "partial 16S ribosomal RNA". It matches the Rfam family "Bacterial small subunit ribosomal RNA", at positions 524 to 776 of the family's 1533-position model. The record is from RNAcentral.